RNAcentral lists this ribosomal RNA (254 nucleotides) under uncultured bacterium. RNAcentral's name for it is "partial 16S ribosomal RNA". It matches the Rfam family "Bacterial small subunit ribosomal RNA", at positions 524 to 776 of the family's 1533-position model. The record is from RNAcentral.
UACGUAGGGUGCAAGCGUUGUCCGGAUUUAUUGGGCGUAAAGAGCUCGUAGGCGGUUUAGAAAGUCGGGUGUGAAACCUCCAGGCUCAACCUGGAGACGCCACUCGAUACUUCUAUGACUUGAGUUCGGUAGGGGUAAGCGGAAUUCCUGGUGUAGCGGUGAAAUGCGCAGAUAUCAGGAGGAACACCAAUGGCGAAGGCAGCACUCUGGGACGUGACUGACGCUGAGACGCGAAAGCGUGGGGAGCAAACAGG